RNAcentral lists this ribosomal RNA (1338 nucleotides) under Lactiplantibacillus plantarum. RNAcentral describes it as "bacterial SSU rRNA". It matches the Rfam family "Bacterial small subunit ribosomal RNA", at positions 101 to 1426 of the family's 1533-position model. The record is from RNAcentral. Lineage: Bacteria; Bacillati; Bacillota; Bacilli; Lactobacillales; Lactobacillaceae.
AACUGGUGAGUAACACGUGGGAAACCUGCCCAGAAGCGGGGGAUAACACCUGGAAACAGAUGCUAAUACCGCAUAACAACUUGGACCGCAUGGUCCGAGUUUGAAAGAUGGCUUCGGCUAUCACUUUUGGAUGGUCCCGCGGCGUAUUAGCUAGAUGGUGGGGUAACGGCUCACCAUGGCAAUGAUACGUAGCCGACCUGAGAGGGUAAUCGGCCACAUUGGGACUGAGACACGGCCCAAACUCCUACGGGAGGCAGCAGUAGGGAAUCUUCCACAAUGGACGAAAGUCUGAUGGAGCAACGCCGCGUGAGUGAAGAAGGGUUUCGGCUCGUAAAACUCUGUUGUUAAAGAAGAACAUAUCUGAGAGUAACUGUUCAGGUAUUGACGGUAUUUAACCAGAAAGCCACGGCUAACUACGUGCCAGCAGCCGCGGUAAUACGUAGGUGGCAAGCGUUGUCCGGAUUUAUUGGGCGUAAAGCGAGCGCAGGCGGUUUUUUAAGUCUGAUGUGAAAGCCUUCGGCUCAACCGAAGAAGUGCAUCGGAAACUGGGAAACUUGAGUGCAGAAGAGGACAGUGGAACUCCAUGUGUAGCGGUGAAAUGCGUAGAUAUAUGGAAGAACACCAGUGGCGAAGGCGGCUGUCUGGUCUGUAACUGACGCUGAGGCUCGAAAGUAUGGGUAGCAAACAGGAUUAGAUACCCUGGUAGUCCAUACCGUAAACGAUGAAUGCUAAGUGUUGGAGGGUUUCCGCCCUUCAGUGCUGCAGCUAACGCAUUAAGCAUUCCGCCUGGGGAGUACGGCCGCAAGGCUGAAACUCAAAGGAAUUGACGGGGGCCCGCACAAGCGGUGGAGCAUGUGGUUUAAUUCGAAGCUACGCGAAGAACCUUACCAGGUCUUGACAUACUAUGCAAAUCUAAGAGAUUAGACGUUCCCUUCGGGGACAUGGAUACAGGUGGUGCAUGGUUGUCGUCAGCUCGUGUCGUGAGAUGUUGGGUUAAGUCCCGCAACGAGCGCAACCCUUAUUAUCAGUUGCCAGCAUUAAGUUGGGCACUCUGGUGAGACUGCCGGUGACAAACCGGAGGAAGGUGGGGAUGACGUCAAAUCAUCAUGCCCCUUAUGACCUGGGCUACACACGUGCUACAAUGGAUGGUACAACGAGUUGCGAACUCGCGAGAGUAAGCUAAUCUCUUAAAGCCAUUCUCAGUUCGGAUUGUAGGCUGCAACUCGCCUACAUGAAGUCGGAAUCGCUAGUAAUCGCGGAUCAGCAUGCCGCGGUGAAUACGUUCCCGGGCCUUGUACACACCGCCCGUCACACCAUGAGAGUUUGUAACACCCAAAG